Molecule: ribosomal RNA, 253 nt
Filed under: uncultured bacterium
Lineage: Bacteria
Description: partial 16S ribosomal RNA
Rfam family: Bacterial small subunit ribosomal RNA
Source: RNAcentral
UACGAAGGGGGCUAGCGUUGUUCGGAAUUACUGGGCGUAAAGGGCUCGUAGGCGGCCAACUAAGUCAUACGUGAAAUCCCUCAGCUUAACUGGGGAACUGCGUGUGAUACUGGAUGGCUUGGAUUUGGGAGAGGGAUGCGGAAUUCCAGGUGUAGCGGUGAAAUGCGUAGAUAUCUGGAGGAACACCGGUGGCGAAGGCGGCAUCCUGGACCAAUAUUGACGCUGAGGAGCGAAAGCUAGGGGAGCAAACGGG